Non-coding RNA from Podarcis lilfordi (Lilford's wall lizard), 73 nucleotides. NCBI's taxonomy places the organism in Eukaryota, Metazoa, Chordata, Lepidosauria, Squamata, Lacertidae. The record is from the annotation of a GenBank genome assembly.
GCAGGGAUAGCUCACUUGGUAGAGCACAAGACUCUUAAUCUCAGAGUUGUGGGUUCAAGUCCCACAUUGAGCA